Long non-coding RNA from Trematomus bernacchii (emerald rockcod), 225 nucleotides. RefSeq lists it as uncharacterized. The transcript has 2 exons. Lineage: Eukaryota; Metazoa; Chordata; Actinopteri; Perciformes; Nototheniidae. The record is from RefSeq and is a predicted model, not a curated record.
GUCAUUAAACCUUAGGGAGGAUGCAGUAACGGAAGGGGACUGUGCUGAAGAACUGCUUCAGCUCUCCAAACACACUGUUGAAGAAUAUUUUGUGGCACCACCAGGAAAUAUUCCUCUACCAACGAGGGAGGAAAGGGCCACCAUACUGAAACACUCAGAGUUAUGAUAUUUAUUACAAAUAGUACAUUUUGGAAGUUAAAUAAAAACCUUAAAGUACUGCAUUAA